This is a long non-coding RNA of Crotalus tigris (Tiger rattlesnake), 1059 nucleotides long. RefSeq lists it as uncharacterized. NCBI's taxonomy places the organism in Eukaryota, Metazoa, Chordata, Lepidosauria, Squamata, Viperidae. The transcript is spliced from 3 exons. The record is from RefSeq and is a predicted model, not a curated record.
UCCUCCUGAAUAACUGCAGCAAGACUUACAUUUUUUAUGCUUUGUAAGAUAUGAACAGGCUUUGAGCAAUUUGGUAGCACGAGAGGCCCAAAGAAGACACUUUUCUUGGAGAAGAUGAAAACACAAAAUACAGCUGCACUGCUCUCAGAUCCCAGGAGAGGCUCAAUCUUGCCAGAAGGCUUGGUUUGUUCGUUGGGCCAUUAGUUCUCUGUUCUUGGAGUGAUAAAGAUUCUAAGUUUCAUCUCAAGCACUCAUCAGAAGUGGAAAUGGACAGUGAUUCACAGAAACAAGAGCGUGUGCCAAAAAAUCAGAGCUGGUGGAUUUUGCUGACCUGGAAUGUUAGACUUUCUCCUCCUCCUCCUCCUCCUCCCCCUAUUCCAGCAGCUCCUUGCGAGAACCUAAUGUAUUUGACACAGCCUGAAGAUUCAAGUGCCUGAAAGACGUGGAGCGUGAAGGAAAUGGAAGGAGAAGAGAGAGAUGGAGCCAUAAAGCAUGGAAGAGAUUGAACAGCGAAUAGGAAAGUGAUACCACAGUUAGCAUGAGGUGUGGUUGUGAUCAUGAUUAUUGGGAUAAAUAUGUGGAAAGGCUGCACCAACUCCAGCUCAGAUUAGUCGAAGAAAUCUCCUAUACGGCAUAUGAGGGAUGGAUUCAGAUAACCAAGCCAGCAAAUAUGGUGGAAGAUGCCAGCCAACCCAACUGAAGGGUCCCAGGCUGAGAAAGGUGGACACAGACACACGGACACGCAGAAGAAGAAAAGAAGAGAAAGAGGAAGAGGAAGAGGAAGAAGAAGAAGAAGACAAUGUUUAGCUAGCCAGAACUGAUGAAGCUUUUUGACUGAGAAUCUCCACAGACACCCAGACAUGAUUCCUUAAAAUGCACUAUAGAUGGUCUUGUACAUCAACAGUGCACAAAAUAACACACAAUAUUUUAUCAGAGCUUUUUAAAAAUAAGAUUCUAUGCUAAAUUAGUAAGUUCCAUUGUUCAGUGGUGUAUACUUAUGCCAAAUCAAAGUGUAACAUUAACUUGCCCAUCAGAACCACUUUCAAUAAAUGUGUUAAA